RNAcentral lists this ribosomal RNA (663 nucleotides) under uncultured Actinomycetes bacterium. RNAcentral's name for it is "bacterial SSU rRNA". It matches the Rfam family "Bacterial small subunit ribosomal RNA", at positions 232 to 885 of the family's 1533-position model. Lineage: Bacteria; Bacillati; Actinomycetota; Actinomycetes. The record is from RNAcentral.
CGCGGCCUAUCAGCUUGUUGGUGUGGUAACGGCGCACCAAGGCAACGAUGGGUAGCUGGUCUGAGAGGAUGGUCAGCCACAUUGGGACUGAGACACUGCCCAAACUCCUACGGGAGGCUGCAGUCGAGAAUAUUUCGCAAUGGGGGAAACCCUGACGAUGCGACGCCGCGUGGGGGAUGAAGGCCUUCGGGUCGUAAACCUCUGUGUUACGGGAUGAAUCGAGCGUUGCUGAUAACGCAGCGUUUUUGACGUUACCGUAGUAGAAAGCCCCAGCUAACUACGUGCCAGCAGCUGCGGUAAUACGUAGGGGGCAAGCGUUGUCCGGAAUCACUGGGCGUAAAGCGCGCGCAGGCGGUAGGGUAAGUCAGACGUGAAAGGGUUCGGCUCAACCGAGCCAUUGCGUUUGAUACUGCUUUACUUGAGUCUAGAAGAGGAAAGUGGAAUGUAUGGUGUAGCGGUGGAAUGCUUAGAUAUCAUAUAGAACACCCGUGGCGAAGGCGGCUUUCUGGUCUAAGACUGACGCUCAUGCACGAAAGUUUGGGGAGCAACCGGGAUUAGAUACCCCGCUAGUCCUUACUGUAAACGAUGGGUACUAAGUGUAGGGGGUGUUGAUUCCCUCUGUGCUGUAGCUAACGCAUUAAGUACCCCGCCUGGGGAGUACGG